AGAGUUUGAUCCUGGCUCAGGAUGAACGCUAGCGACAGGCUUAACACAUGCAAGUCGAGGGGCAGCGGGGUAGUGCUUGCACUACCGCCGGCGACCGGCGCACGGGUGAGUAACACGUAUGCAACCUACCCUGAUCAGGGGGAUAAGCGGUGGAAACGCCGUCUAAUACCGCGUAUAUCUUCCGGGGGCAUCCCCGGGAGAAGAAAGGUAGUAAUACCGGAACAGGAUGGGCAUGCGGCGCAUUAGGUAGUUGGAGGUGUAACGGACCACCAAGCCGACGAUGCGUAGGGGUUCUGAGAGGAAGGUCCCCCACACUGGUACUGAGACACGGACCAGACUCCUACGGGAGGCAGCAGUGAGGAAUAUUGGUCAAUGGGCGGGAGCCUGAACCAGCCAAGUCGCGUGAAGGAAGAAGGUACUUAGUAUUGUAAACUUCUUUUGUCAGGGAACAAAAGUGAGGACGUGUCCUCAUAUGAGUGUACCUGAAGAAAAAGCAUCGGCUAACUCCGUGCCAGCAGCCGCGGUAAUACGGAGGAUGCGAGCGUUAUCCGGAUUUAUUGGGUUUAAAGGGUGCGCAGGCGGAAGGUCAAGUCAGCGGUAAAAUGUCGGGGCUCAACCCCGGCCGGCCGUUGAAACUGGUCAUCUAGGGUUGGAGAGAAGUAUGCGGAAUUCGUGGUGUAGCGGUGAAAUGCAUAGAUAUCACGAAGAACUCCGAUUGCGAAGGCAGCAUACCGGCUCCAUACUGACGCUCAGGCACGAAAGCGUGGGGAUCGAACAGGAUUAGAUACCCUGGUAGUCCACGCAGUAAACGAUGAAUGCUCGGUGUUCGGUAAGAAUGAUUACUGAGUGCCAUAGCGAAAGCGUUAAGCAUUCCACCUGGGGAGUACGCCGGCAACGGUGAAACUCAAAGGAAUUGACGGGGGCCCGCACAAGCGGAGGAACAUGUGGUUUAAUUCGAUGAUACGCGAGGAACCUUACCCGGGCUCAAACGUAGCAGGACGUGCGCCGAAAAGCGCAUUUCACUUGUGACCUGUUACGAGGUGCUGCAUGGUUGUCGUCAGCUCGUGUCGUGAGAUGUUGGGUUAAGUCCCGCAACGAGCGCAACCCCUAUCUUUAGUAGCCAGCAUUUAAGGUGGGCACUCUAGAGAGACUGCCGGGGAUAACCCGGAGGAAGGUGGGGAUGACGUCAAAUCAUCAUGCCCCUUAUGAUUUGGGCUACACACGUGCUACAAUGGCGUAAACAAAGGGAAGCAGCCCUGUGAAGGUAAGCAAAUCCCAAAAAUAACGUCCCAGUUCGGAUUGUAGUCUGCAACCCGACUACAUGAAGCUGGAAUCGCUAGUAAUCGCGGAUCAGAAUGCCGCGGUGAAUACGUUCCCGGGUCUUGCACACACCGCCCGUCAAG
Molecule: ribosomal RNA, 1403 nt
Filed under: uncultured bacterium
Lineage: Bacteria
Description: partial 16S ribosomal RNA
Rfam family: Bacterial small subunit ribosomal RNA
Source: RNAcentral